GAAUCUUGCGCAAUGGGCGAAAGCCUGACGCAGCCAUGCCGCGUGAAUGAUGAAGGCCUUAGGGUUGUAAAGCUCUUUUACCAGGGAUGAUAAUGACAGUACCUGGAGAAUAAGCUCCGGCUAACUCCGUGCCAGCAGCCGCGGUAAUACGGAGGGAGCUAGCGUUGUUCGGAAUUACUGGGCGUAAAGCGCACGUAGGCGGCGACUCAAGUCAGAGGUGAAAGCCCGGGGCUCAACCCCGGAACUGCCUUUGAAACUAGGUUGCUAGAAUCUUGGAGAGGUCAGUGGAAUUCCGAGUGUAGAGGUGAAAUUCGUAGAUAUUCGGAAGAACACCAGUGGCGAAGGCGACUGACUGGACAAGUAUUGACGCUGAGGUGCGAAAGCGUGGGGAGCAAACAG
Molecule: ribosomal RNA, 399 nt
Filed under: uncultured bacterium
Lineage: Bacteria
Description: bacterial SSU rRNA
Rfam family: Bacterial small subunit ribosomal RNA
Source: RNAcentral